ACAAGGGGGGCGUGCUUAAUACAUGCAAGUCGAGCGGACAGAUGGGAGCUUGCUCCCUGAUGUUAGCGGCGGACGGGUGAGUAACACGUGGGUAACCUGCCUGUAAGACUGGGAUAACUCCGGGAAACCGGGGCUAAUACCGGAUGCUUGUUUGAACCGCAUGGUUCAAACAUAAAAGGUGGCUUCGGCUACCACUUACAGAUGGACCCGCGGCGCAUUAGCUAGUUGGUGAGGUAAUGGCUCACCAAGGCAACGAUGCGUAGCCGACCUGAGAGGGUGAUCGGCCACACUGGGACUGAGACACGGCCCAGACUCCUACGGGAGGCAGCAGUAGGGAAUCUUCCGCAAUGGACGAAAGUCUGACGGAGCAACGCCGCGUGAGUGAUGAAGGUUUUCGGAUCGUAAAGCUCUGUUGUUAGGGAAGAACAAGUACCGUUCGAAUAGGGCGGUACCUUGCCGGUACCUAACCAUAAAGCCACUGCUAACUAAAUGCCAGCGUCCACGUUAAUACGUAUGUGGCAAGCGUUUUCCGGUAUUAUUGGGCGUAAAGGGCUUGCUCGCGGCUUCUUUAGUCUGAUGUGAAUCCCCCCCGGUACACCCGGGGACGGCGGUUGGGAAAUUGGGGAACU
Molecule: ribosomal RNA, 629 nt
Filed under: Bacillus subtilis
Lineage: Bacteria; Bacillati; Bacillota; Bacilli; Caryophanales; Bacillaceae
Description: bacterial SSU rRNA
Rfam family: Bacterial small subunit ribosomal RNA
Source: RNAcentral